GUCUGAGAGUCGGGCGUGAAACGGGGUUCCAGAGGUUGAUCCCCGCCCCUGCGGCCGCUAGCCCCGCGCUGCAGUUUCGAUGGGAAGAGAAUAGAGGCGUGAAGAAGGCGGGUUCUUCUGAUUGGCGACAAUUAGAUGAGAUGCAUGCAAAGUGCUCAACAUAGUGCCUAGAGCAUAAUGUUCUUCCCAGUCAGCAGUUACCAGUGUGACAAAGGAACAGCUGUCUGACCUCAAAGAAAGAUUUACAUGAGAUUCUGAGAGCAACGGGAAACUCCAGCAAGGGGCCACCUGCCUUGUGAAAAUGUCUCUCCUGACGUCUCUUAGAUGGGAAGCCUGGGCCAUCCAGGCCUUCUGUGUCCCUCCUCAUGGCAGGCACAUUCAAGCUGAACCUGAAAGUGGGCAAAAUCAGUAGAAGAACAGAGCUGACAGGAGCUGAUUCCUCAAUAAAAGGAUUAC
Long non-coding RNA from Lutra lutra (Eurasian river otter), 456 nucleotides. RefSeq lists it as uncharacterized. NCBI's taxonomy places the organism in Eukaryota, Metazoa, Chordata, Mammalia, Carnivora, Mustelidae. The record is from RefSeq and is a predicted model, not a curated record. The transcript has 3 exons.